This is a long non-coding RNA of Zingiber officinale, 342 nucleotides long. RefSeq lists it as uncharacterized. The record is from RefSeq and is a predicted model, not a curated record. The transcript is spliced from 3 exons. NCBI's taxonomy places the organism in Eukaryota, Viridiplantae, Streptophyta, Magnoliopsida, Zingiberales, Zingiberaceae.
AAAUUGGUAAACUGGCUGGACCUGCACUUUAAGGAAGACAAGCUUAAGCCAAAUCUUGGCCAAGAGAAAGAUCCGAUGGCAGGAAUUAUGGAUUUGAUGAAGAACAUGUAUGAAGAAGGCGAUGAUGAGAUGAAGCGGACGAUUGCCAAAGCCUAGUCUGAUGCAAGAUCUGGAAAAAUGACUGAUCCACUAAAAAAUUACCCAUGAAAAUAGGAGCACGAGGAUGGUUUUAUCUUUAACCAUUCCAGCACAUCUUUGUUUAUUCAGCUGACAACAUGAACUUUGACUGUUGAACUCGUUUUAGCUUUUUCAUUAUGCUAUAAAUCGUUUAUUUGUUGAACU